UACGUAGGGUGCAAGCGUUGUCCGGAAUUAUUGGGCGUAAAGAGCUCGUAGGCGGUCUGUCACGUCGGCUGUGAAAACUCGGGGCUCAACCCCGAGCCUGCAGUCGAUACGGGCAGACUAGAGUCCGGCAGGGGAGACUGGAAUUCCUGGUGUAGCGGUGAAAUGCACAGAUAUCAGGAGGAACACCGGUGGCGAAGGCGGGUCUCUGGGCCGGAACUGACGCUGAGGAGCGAAAGCGUGGGGAGCGAACAGG
Molecule: ribosomal RNA, 253 nt
Filed under: uncultured bacterium
Lineage: Bacteria
Description: partial 16S ribosomal RNA
Rfam family: Bacterial small subunit ribosomal RNA
Source: RNAcentral